GAAGGAGUAUGAAAACAUCUUAUAUUAUUGGCAUUCAAGCAUAAGAGGCAAGAGGGCUAUAUGCCUCAAACAUUAGGAGAGAAACUGAAACUAUUACACUUGAAGACAUAAAACUUGCAUGUGAUUAUUCUACUUGAUUUUGUAUCCAAGUCUAGUAGCAUAUGCAACAAGAUCGUUGAGCUCAUCCAUACUGAUGCAUCCAUCGUUGUUGAAAUCAGCAUGCUGGAGUGCUCUCCAUGCUCUAUAAGCAGGGAUAUAGGCACCCAACCGAUCAUAUGCAAGCUUUAUCUCUUCCCUGCUCAGGACUUUGUUGCCAUCGAUGUCGCAAGCGAGGAAAAUUUUCCGAAUCUGAUCCGCUUCAUAGUCGAUCGGUGCAACUUUAUCCUUUCUAUAGUAAUAAAAUGGCAUUUUGUUUAAAGGAUUUUGAGCUGUUUCUGGAAAAGAAACGUACACUACAGUUUUAAAAGGAUUUUGGGCUGCGCCUGUGUAUGAUCCUGGAAGUAUGGAGGGCUGGGC
Molecule: long non-coding RNA, 516 nt
Filed under: Durio zibethinus
Lineage: Eukaryota; Viridiplantae; Streptophyta; Magnoliopsida; Malvales; Malvaceae
Description: long non-coding RNA (DZIB_LNC000004)
Source: RNAcentral